GUGGUUCUCGGGAAUCUGUGAUAUUCAUUAGCAAGCCUUCCAAGCCGGAGAUCCCGGGUUCAAAUCCCGGCCGCCGCACCA
RNAcentral lists this transfer RNA (81 nucleotides) under Ignisphaera aggregans DSM 17230. RNAcentral describes it as "tRNA-Leu (CAA) (tRNA-Leu-CAA-2-1)". Lineage: Archaea; Thermoproteati; Thermoproteota; Thermoprotei; Desulfurococcales; Desulfurococcaceae. The record is from RNAcentral.